UGGGGGAUAUUGCACAAUGGGCGAAAGCCUGAUGCAGCGACGCCGCGUGGGGGAUGAAGGCUUUCGGGUUGUAAACCUCUUUCGCUAUCGAACAAGGCCCGCUUAGGGUGGGUUGAGGGUAGGUGGAGAAGAAGCGCCGGCUAACUACGUGCCAGCAGCCGCGGUAAUACGUAGGGCGCGAGCGUUGUCCGGAAUUAUUGGGCGUAAAGGGCUUGUAGGCGGCUUGUUGCGCCUGCUGUGAAAACGCGGGGCUUAACUUCGCGCGUGGAGUGGGUACGGGCAGGGUUGAGUUUGGUAGGGGUGACUGGGAUUCCAGGUGUUGCGGUGGAAUGCGCAGAUAUAUGGAGGAACACCGAUGGCGAAGGCAGGGCACUGGGCCAGUACUGAAGCUGAGGAGCGAAAGCAUGGGUAGCGAACAGG
RNAcentral lists this ribosomal RNA (420 nucleotides) under bacterium. RNAcentral's name for it is "partial 16S ribosomal RNA". It matches the Rfam family "Bacterial small subunit ribosomal RNA", at positions 355 to 776 of the family's 1533-position model. The record is from RNAcentral.